CCUACUGAAUUUAAGCAUAUUAGUCAGUGGAGGAAAAGAAAUUAACCUGGACUCCCUCAGUAACAGCAAGUGAACAGGGAAGAGUCCAGCAUUGAAUCCCUGCCCCACAGUAGGGUGCAGGAAAUGUGGCAUAUUGAAGACCCACUCCCCGGUGAUGCUCAUGGUGGGGCCCAAGUCCUUCUGAUUGAGGCCCAGCUCAUGGACGGUGUAAGGCUGGUAGUGGUCCCCAGUGUGCCAGGCCCAGGUCUUCCCAGAGUUGGGCUGCUUGGGAAUGCAGACGAAAGUGGGUGGUAAACUCCAUCUAUGGCUAAAUACUGGCAUGAGACCAAUAGUCAACAAGUACCAUAAGCGAAAGUUGAAAAGAACUUAGAAGAGAGACUUCAAGAGGGUAUGACCCGCUCUGGGGAUGGUAUCAAGUAGGGAGUUUGACUGGGGCAGUCAAGGCAUGUCUUACAU
RNAcentral lists this non-coding RNA (456 nucleotides) under Pan troglodytes (chimpanzee). Its description in RNAcentral is "Eukaryotic large subunit ribosomal RNA". It matches the Rfam family "Eukaryotic large subunit ribosomal RNA", at positions 24 to 466 of the family's 3401-position model. The record is from Rfam by way of RNAcentral. Lineage: Eukaryota; Metazoa; Chordata; Mammalia; Primates; Hominidae.